RNAcentral lists this ribosomal RNA (372 nucleotides) under uncultured organism. RNAcentral describes it as "partial 16S ribosomal RNA". It matches the Rfam family "Bacterial small subunit ribosomal RNA", at positions 526 to 896 of the family's 1533-position model. The record is from RNAcentral.
GGAGGGGGGCUAGCGUUGCUCGGAAUUACUGGGCGUAAAGGGCGUGUAGGCGGGACAUCAAGUUAGGCGUGAAAGCCCCCGGGGCUCAACCCGGGAAAUGCGCUUGAUACUGAUGACCUAGAGUCCGGGAGAGGGUGGUGGAAUUCCCAGUGUAGAGGUGAAAUCCGUAGAUAUUGGGAAGAACACCAGUGGCGAAGGCGGCCACCUGGACCGGUACUGACGCUGAGGCGCGAAAGCGUGGGGAGCAAACAGGAUUAGAUACCCUGGUAGUCCACGCCGUAAACGAUGUGUGCUAGACGUCGGGCAGCUUGCUGUUCGGUGUCGCAGCUAACGCACUAAGCACACCGCCUGGGGAGUACGGCCGCAAGGCUA